Solanum pennellii is the source of this 1402-nucleotide RNA transcript. It is a transcript of the gene named RNA-binding protein FUS-like, with no coding region annotated. The transcript has 2 exons. The record is from RefSeq and is a predicted model, not a curated record. Lineage: Eukaryota; Viridiplantae; Streptophyta; Magnoliopsida; Solanales; Solanaceae.
AUGCUGGGCUUAUAUUGUGGUAAUGCUGCUGACAACAAUUCCUCGCAGAAUCGUGUUUGAAAUCCAGGAAUGGCUGGAGGAUAUCCUCAAAAAGGUUAUCAAACUCAACCUCCUACAAGCUGGGCUCCUCUUGGUGCGCAGAUGCAAAAACAUGGUUCUGGUUACCUCCAACCUGGAACAUAUCCAGGUCCAUCUCCCCAAUAUAACACGUCUCAAUCAGCCUACCCUAGUUACCCUCCACAACAGGCCUCUAGUGGAUAUGCAUCUGGUCGGGAUCAGACAACUUCACCAAAUCAGCAAACGUCUCAGGUAGGUGGUUAUGAUUACUAUAGUCAGCAGGCACCCCCACAACAACAACAAACACCUGGAGGUUCAGCUGCUUCAACCGAUACUAUUGCCUAUGGUUAAAAUCAGCCUUCAGCCACAAGUUACAACCAGGGACAGAGCUACUCCCAAGAUGGCUAUGGUGGAUAUUAUGCACCUGCUGCUCAAUCUGGUUAUCAGGAUACUGGUUAUGAUCAGCAACAAGGUUAUAGUGCUACUCCGAGCUAUGGGAAUGUACCGAACCCUACUUCUGAUGGCCACAACACUUUACAUGGUAGUGAUGGCAAUCAAGCACCUGCACCAGUUCAGUCAUCAGUGGGCCAACAAGGCUAUCAGUCUGGCCAGCAGCCCAGCCCUACUCCUAGUUGCCCAUCUCAAGGCUCUACUCAAUCUGGGUAUGGGAUGCCACCACUUCCCAAGGUGGUUAUGGUACCCAAUCUCCAACAGGUUAUGGCGCCCAUCCAGCAGCAGGUUAUGGGUCCCCUCAAGCCCAAAAGCCUCCGACUAGUCAUCCAGCUUAUGGUCAGCCUCAACAAUCUUCUAGUGCACAAGGUGGCUAUGCCCAACCUCCACCGGUGCAGCCCGGGUAUCCACAGGCAGCAACUGCUCAAUUAGGUUAUGGUCAGGGUGAAUCUGGGACUCAGCGACCUCCAUCCUCUUAUGGCCCUCCAACAGCUCACCCUGGGUAUGGGGAUGCUAGCUAUGGGCAGCUGCCACCACCUUACAGUAGUGGCUAUGCUGGCAGUAAUGUGCAACCUCUGGCAGCGUACUCUACUGAUGGCAAUGGUGGUGCAAAUCCAAAAAUCCCAGUCUGUUCAACCUAGUAAUGAGGGGGUUCCAAAAGCCCCACCUCAGAGUUAAUGGAUGCUACUUGGAAGGAUCAAGUGAUAGCUAGCUCCCUUAUAUAUUGUUUCCUUAUUUUGUUAUGCUUUACUUUGGUAUUAUGUUAGGUUUCUGGUGCAUUAAGAGAGUCUGAAACUUCAGUUUGUUUGUCUCUUUGAGUACCUAUGUGAUCAUGUUGGUCAAACCUUUUUUCUUCUUUCUAAUAUAAGAACUCUUAAAAGGAUGUUUCUUUGUA